AGUGAACGCUGGCGGCAGGCCUAACACAUGCAAGUCGAGCGGCAGCGCGGGGGCAACCCUGGCGGCGAGCGGCGGACGGGUGAGGAAUUCGUCGGAAUCUGCCUUUUUGUGGGGGAUAACGUAGGGAAACUUGCGCUAAUACCGCAUACGUCCUACGGGAGAAAGUGGGGGACCGCAAGGCCUCACGCAGAAAGAUGAGCCGACGACCGAUUAGCUAGUUGGUGGGGUAAAGGCCCACCAAGGCGACGAUCGGUAGCUGGUCUGAGAGGAUGAUCAGCCACACUGGGACUGAGACACGGCCCAGACUCCUACGGGAGGCAGCAGUGGGGAAUAUUGGACAAUGGGCGCAAGCCUGAUCCAGCCAUGCCGCGUGUGUGAAGAAGGCCUUCGGGUUGUAAAGCACUUUUGUCCGGAAAGAAAUCCCUGGAGCUAAUACCUUCGGGGGAUGACGGUACCGGAAGAAUAAGCACCGGCUAACUUCGUG
Molecule: ribosomal RNA, 484 nt
Filed under: uncultured bacterium
Lineage: Bacteria
Description: partial 16S ribosomal RNA
Rfam family: Bacterial small subunit ribosomal RNA
Source: RNAcentral